UGGGGAAUAUUGGACAAUGGGGGGAACCCUGAUCCAGCCAUGCCGCGUGUGUGAAGAAGGCCUUAUGGUUGUAAAGCACUUUAAGCGAGGAGGAGGGUACUGGUAUUAAUACUACCAGGUACUGGACGUUACUCGCAGAAUAAGCACCGGCUAACUCUGUGCCAGCAGCCGCGGUAAUACAGAGGGUGCGAGCGUUAAUCGGAUUUACUGGGCGUAAAGCGUGCGUAGGCGGCUAAUUGAGUCGGAUGUGAAAUCCCCGAGCUUAACUUGGGAAUUGCAUUCGAUACUGGUUAGCUAGAGUGUGGGAGAGGAUGGUAGAAUUCCAGGUGUAGCGGUGAAAUGCGUAGAGAUCUGGAGGACUACCGAUGGCGAAGGCAGCCAUCUGGCCUAACACUGACGCUGAGGUACGAAAGCAUGGGGAGCAAACAGG
Molecule: ribosomal RNA, 430 nt
Filed under: Pseudomonadota bacterium
Lineage: Bacteria; Pseudomonadati; Pseudomonadota
Description: Proteobacteria bacterium partial 16S ribosomal RNA
Rfam family: Bacterial small subunit ribosomal RNA
Source: RNAcentral